This 540-nucleotide ribosomal RNA is filed under the name Theileria sp. CS-2016a. Its description in RNAcentral is "SSU rRNA". It matches the Rfam family "Eukaryotic small subunit ribosomal RNA", at positions 535 to 1104 of the family's 1831-position model. Lineage: Eukaryota; Apicomplexa; Aconoidasida; Piroplasmida; Theileriidae. The record is from RNAcentral.
UCCAGAGUAUCAAUUGGAGGGCAAGUCUGGUGCCAGCAGCCGCGGUAAUUCCAGCUCCAAUAGCGUAUAUUAAAAUUGUUGCAGUUAAAAAGCUCGUAGUUGAAUUUCUGCUGCAUUGCAUUUUCUCCUAUACGAGUUUUUGCAUUGUGGCUUAUUUCGGUUAUAAAAUUUAUUUUAUUUCCGGAUGUUUACUUUGAGAAAAUUAGAGUGCUCAAAGCAGGCUUUUGCCUUGAAUAGUUUAGCAUGGAAUAAUAAAGUAGGACUUUGGUUCUAUUUUGUUGGUUUUAGGUACCAAAGUAAUGGUUAAUAGGAACAGUUGGGGGCAUUCGUAUUUAACUGUCAGAGGUGAAAUUCUUAGAUUUGUUAAAGACGAACUACUGCGAAAGCAUUUGCCAAGGAUGUUUUCAUUAAUCAAGAACGAAAGUUAGGGGAUCGAAGACGAUCAGAUACCGUCGUAGUCCUAACCAUAAACUAUGCCGACUAGAGAUUGGAGGUCGUCAGUUUUUACGACUCCUUCAGCACCUUGAGAGAAAUCAAAGU